UACGUAGGGUGCGAGCGUUAAUCGGAUUUACUGGGCGUAAAGGGCGCGUAGGCGGCCGGGCAAGUCUGGUGUGAAAGCCCAGGGCUCAACCCUGGAAGGGCACUGGAAACUGUCUGGCUUGAGUUCCGGAGAGGAGGGGGGAAUUCCCGGUGUAGCGGUGAAAUGCGUAGAGAUCAGGAGGAACACCGAUGGCGAAGGCAGCCCCCUGGGCCUGUACUGACGCUCAUGCACGAAAGCGUGGGGAGCAAACAGG
Molecule: ribosomal RNA, 253 nt
Filed under: uncultured microorganism
Description: partial 16S ribosomal RNA
Rfam family: Bacterial small subunit ribosomal RNA
Source: RNAcentral